AAAGUCUUCGCACGUCACCUUUUGACGAGGAAGAAUUCAAGGAGGAGACGACUCGCGCAGGGGUCCUGAAACAACGUUUCCGAAACCUGCCAGCAAGUGUGUUUGCUGGCGAUGAAGCUGAAAAAAUAAUGAAGGUUUACCAAGAGCUGUCUGCCUCAAGUGAACAGAAAUCGCUAAGCAGCACACCCGACAAGCAAUCGCCUGCGGAAGCUGGUGAGCAGACAAGCACAUUGGAAGCAGGCAUACAAAACAGCCAGCCUGUGCACACCAAAGCAUUGUCUCCUGAAAUAAUUACUGAAGAACCCAAGGUCAAGAAAGUAAAAAAGCGCCUAAGGCUCUAGGACUCUGUAGAGUAGUUAUUCUAUUUGCAUUUGUCCUGUAAUGUGUGGUUGGUGUGACCGUGCACUGGUCAGCUCCUUUGUAGUUUCUGGAAGCUAAUUUCUGCUAACGAUAUCACAGAGUACUAAGCCCAAUGAAUUGUGGGUCAAAUUCCUUGUUGUACAUCAAUGUAUUUUUAAGACCACCAGGUAUUUCCAAAAGUUUAAUGUUUGAUGCACUCGCUUUUAUAUACACAUAAUUUGAUUUUAUGCUAAAUUUUUUCACAAUGCCACAGCUUUUACUAUCUUGAGUACAUGUUAUCUUUAAUUUUAUUUUAAUUCUAAUCAAUUUUGCAAUUUUCUACAUGUGUUUUGGACUGCCUGAUAACUUCGAAAUUUUAACAUUUUAUGCACUCGUUUUUGUAUUACACAUGAUGAAUUUUUUUUUUUUUGCAAAGCUUUUCAUGUGUGCAUCUGCUUUUAUGCCACAGCUGUUACUAUUAGAAUAAAUUUGAAUCAAUUUUAUGUUAUUCCACAUAUUAUUUUGAAACAUUUCUCAAGAGUCAGAGUAUAGCUCACUGUUUGUUAAUUUUGCCCAAAUGCGUUACAAUAAAAUCAUUUU
Dermacentor silvarum is the source of this 939-nucleotide long non-coding RNA. RefSeq lists it as uncharacterized. Lineage: Eukaryota; Metazoa; Arthropoda; Arachnida; Ixodida; Ixodidae. The record is from RefSeq and is a predicted model, not a curated record. The transcript has 3 exons.